UUUGAAAUUACUUGGCACUGCAUCAUAAUUAGUAUUUUAUUUAAAAAUAUAAAAUGUCCACUAUUUCAAAAUAUACAUGUUAAUGAAAGUCCAAGUUAUCUAAAAUCUUAGGAGGAUAAUAUACCAUGAUUCAAAGGCUGAGGUAAAAGUUUAAGUAUACCAAUUUUGAUACCUAAUGCAAAGAGGUAUUAAUAAUACACUCACACCCGUCAUCCAUGUUCACAGUUUACUUACAUUUUCCUAUUUCCUAAUAAAAAUUAUGUUCCAAACUCUUGACCAUUCUCCUCACGGCUUUCAUUGUCAUCGUCCAUCAACUAUUGACAGAGUCUUCAAGGUCACACAGAAAACGCAGCAUCAACUUCAACCAUAAUCAUAUACUAUUUAUGGAUUAAAUAUCCCUAUUAAUUUCAUAGGCUGUGGAUCAAAUUAUCGGAAAUGCCCUCAAUGUACCUCCAAAAUCAUGCCAAGUAUUGACUUGAAAUGGAAUCAAUGGAAAACGAGGAGACAGACCGAGUAAACUCCCCCUUUAGUCACCCUGAAAAUUCAAGUAAUUGAUAUGAAGGCAAAUAUUGGCUGAGACCGAGACCAAAGAGUCAUGUGACUUUCUUUAAAUGGUUAAUUAACAUUUAAUCUCAAUCAUCACACUUUCAUAAAAACUAACACUCUUAUUAGAUAUAUUUCCCAUAAUUAAAUCCAAAAUAAAAGUCACAGGUUAAUGACUUUAUCUCUAAUGGUAAAACACAAAUCAUUGUUGCAUAAUAAGGACAAGUUUGUAAAGUAGAACAUAGAGAAAUAUGACACAAACUUUAAAGCAUGGUCUAAGUCAGGCAGUGCAGACAGACUUAAUUUGACAUAUGAGUGGCUUUGCUGCACAUAUUUAAUGUAGUUAUGAUUAAAACAGCUUAGCACUUGCGACCUUAAGUAUGGUCAGAUAGACAUACACCAAUAUACAUAUCAUUUAAAACAGAAGAAACACAAAUAUUUCUGAUAACAUGCAAGCAUGAAACUGGUUCUCAGGAUUCUACAUGGAUACUUGAGCUUGGUUAUGAUCCAGAAGGCUGACAAUAAAAUAAAGAGCCUGAGGACGGGGUUGUUGCUGUGGUCUUUGUUGGUAUGGUUGUUGGGGGUAAUAUGGUUGUUGAGGGAAUUGUUGUAGGUUGUAUAGUGGUUGGUAUAAUGGGGGGUAGUAUGGUGCAGGUCCUUGAGGUCUGGGUGAUUGAUAGUUUGGGUUCUAGGGUGCGGUCAUUUGUGGGGUGAUGUUGGCAACAAAGGGGUGAUUAGGGUACACGGGCUGAG
Molecule: long non-coding RNA, 1296 nt
Filed under: Medicago truncatula (barrel medic)
Lineage: Eukaryota; Viridiplantae; Streptophyta; Magnoliopsida; Fabales; Fabaceae
Description: long non-coding RNA (MTRU_LNC000198)
Source: RNAcentral